CUGAGCCUACGGGGCGCAGCAGUGGGGGAUAUUGCACAAUGGGGGAAACCCUGAUGCAGCGACACCGCGUGGGUGAAGAAGCGCUUCGGCGUGUAAAGCCCUAUCAGUGGGGAAGAAAAAGGACGGUACACAAAGAAGAAGCACCGGCUAAAUACGUGCCAGCAGCCGCGGUAAUACGUAUGGUGCAAGCGUUAUCCGGAAUGACUGGGCGUAAAGGGAGCGUAGCCGGUUGUACAAGUCUGAUGUGAAAGCCCACGGCUCAACUGUGGGAGUGCAUUGGAAACUGUAGAACUAGAGUAUCGGAG
RNAcentral lists this ribosomal RNA (305 nucleotides) under uncultured bacterium. RNAcentral's name for it is "bacterial SSU rRNA". It matches the Rfam family "Bacterial small subunit ribosomal RNA", at positions 332 to 654 of the family's 1533-position model. The record is from RNAcentral.